CUGAUGCAAAACUCCUGCCUUCCUAGAUAAAGGGAGGAGGCUAGGAAGACUGAUGAAAUUCACAAGAAACCUAACAAGACACAAGAGGCCCUUCCCUCAGGUUAUAUGAGCAGCAAACAGUAGCAGCAAUGUUCUGCCUCUACUCAGGCUCAAACACGAUGGAACCAGCCAACCACAGACUGAGACCAACGUACCAGAACAUGUGACACAAAUCCCAGGGCCACAAGAACAGAGGGGUCAGGCCAGUCUGCAGAGGCCAGGGAUUUGGAGAGCCAGGCCCAGAAUGUACUUCCUCUCAAAGCACUUCAAAAAAGUCUUGGAUCUAAGUGCCUUUCAAAGCCACCACAAGGACUAGUUAGAAUGGGAUGGGGGCAGUUCAGUCAACAUAGGAGAGGCCAAGGCUAGACAGUGAUGUGAGCUUCCUAAUCAGUUCCUACCUGGGACCUAAAGUUCGAAAGUGACAUCUCUCGCCCUACCUAAUCAUGAAUCUUCUUUGGACUGUGUUCUCUGAGGACCUCAAGGUCUGUCCAGGACUUGGCCCUGAGAUCAUCAAAGCCACAUUUUUACAGAUCGCCAAGUUUACAGAUGUUUCCCUGAUCACUACGAGCUUUGCUGCAAUAACCUCAGGUUGCUUCCCACUGACAAGCAUCCUUUUCCCAAGUUCAUGCUGAAGAAGAGCUGUCUAGAAGAUGAGCAGCUCCAGAGGACAAGGAGAGGGCAGGCACCCUCUGAAGGAGUAAGUGUUGUCAUCAGUCAGUAAGGAUGGCUUAACAAAGGGCAGUGCUCUCCACAUAGAGUAAGGUUCAGGAAAGGGAAGCUGGGUGUCAGGUGCCAAGGGAAAUGGAAGGACCUCGGAGCUUAUUUAUGGAUGGACACAGUGUGUUUACGUUUUUUGGCAGAGCUGUGAGGCCUCCCCACCCCCACCCCAAGGACUCAGGAAUGCGUCUGCUGACCUUCAAGCUGAGAUGAAGGCAUGGGUGGGUCAAUUCAUCUUAGAGAAAUGCCUGCCCAUUCCAAAGUUAAGUACAGUCUUUCCCCAAAGCAAGAAAAGUUUGACAACUGGGAGGGAAACACAAUGAUCCCAAGGCUGCAAAAGAGGAGUAACAACCCCUACAGCAACCUACUUCAAUCUAUAGAAUUUCAUUCAUGUUCACAAAAAUGACAAGGUGCAAGGUCAGUAGUUCCUUUUUUUGAGAGAGAGAGAGUUAAC
Cricetulus griseus (Chinese hamster) is the source of this 1210-nucleotide non-coding RNA. NCBI's taxonomy places the organism in Eukaryota, Metazoa, Chordata, Mammalia, Rodentia, Cricetidae. The record is from RefSeq and is a predicted model, not a curated record.